RNAcentral lists this ribosomal RNA (440 nucleotides) under uncultured bacterium. Its description in RNAcentral is "partial 16S ribosomal RNA". It matches the Rfam family "Bacterial small subunit ribosomal RNA", at positions 338 to 795 of the family's 1533-position model. The record is from RNAcentral.
CCUACGGGAGGCAGCAGUGGGGGAUAUUGCACAAUGGGGGGAACCCUGAUGCAGCGACGCCGCGUGGGUGAAGAAGCGCCUCGGCGCGUAAAGCCCUGUCAGCAGGGAAGAAAAUGACGGUACCUGAAGCAGAAGCCCCGGCUAACUACGUGCCAGCAGCCGCGGUAAUACGUAGGGGGCAAGCGUUAUCCGGAUUUACUGGGUGUAAAGGGGGCGCAGACGGCGAUGCAAGCCAGGAGUGAAAGCCCGGGGCCCAACCCCGGGACGGCUCUUGGAACUGCGGGGCUGGAGUGCAGGAGGGGCAGGCGGAAUUCCUGGUGUAGCGGUGAAAUGCGUAGAUAUCAGGAGGAACACCGGUGGCGAAGGCGGCCUGCUGGACUGCAACUGACGUUGAGGCCCGAAAGCGUGGGGAGCAAACAGGAUUAGAUACCCCAGUAGUA